GUAUGAUGUCUUUUACAUUAUAAAUACGUCAAACAAACUAUUUGAUUCUAUUAUAUUCAAAGGAGGAAAAAUAUGGGUGAAACUUUGAAGUUUGUUUAUACUAUGUCCAUCUUUCUUUCACUAUUUCUUGUUGUAACCAGUAUUGUAGGUGAGGAGUGGAACUCGCAUAGUUGGAACUCAGAAUUCUAUUUGAAGAAAAGUUGCAGUUCUGACUUUGAUUGUCCAAGGACUAUGUGCAUAAAACUUUCCCUUGCGAGAUGCUUUAAUGACUUUUGUCACUGCUAUUAAUAACGUUUUGAUUUCAAUGAUAGGACGAGAAGAAGAACACGUGACAAAUUAAUUAGUUACAAAACUUGUAUUAUAAGUUGUCCAACACAAUAAAAUAAUGUAAAAUUUAUUAAAUUGAGAUUUAUAAAAUAAAAUAUUAUAAUAUAUAUGAACGUAGUUUAAAUA
Molecule: long non-coding RNA, 453 nt
Organism: Medicago truncatula (barrel medic)
Lineage: Eukaryota; Viridiplantae; Streptophyta; Magnoliopsida; Fabales; Fabaceae
Exons: 3
Source: RefSeq, a predicted model, not a curated record